Molecule: ribosomal RNA, 377 nt
Filed under: uncultured bacterium
Lineage: Bacteria
Description: bacterial SSU rRNA
Rfam family: Bacterial small subunit ribosomal RNA
Source: RNAcentral
AAACGUAGGGGGCGAGCGUUGUCCGGAAUUACUGGGCGUAAAGGGCGCGUAGGCGGUCAUUUAAGUCAGAGGUGAAAACUACCGGCUCAACCGGUAGCCUGCCUUUGAAACUGGAUGACUUGAGGGCAGGAGAGGGGAGUGGAAUUCCCAGUGUAGCGGUGAAAUGCGUAGAUAUUGGGAGGAACACCAGUGGCGAAGGCGGCUCUCUGGCCUGUUUCUGACGCUGAGGCGCGAAAGCGUGGGGAGCGAACGGGAUUAGAUACCCCGGUAGUCCACGCCGUAAACGAUGGGUGCUAGGUGUAGGAGGUAUCGACCCCUUCUGUGCCGUAGCUAACGCAAUAAGCACCCCGCCUGGGGAGUACGGCCGCAAGGUUGAA